RNAcentral lists this transfer RNA (64 nucleotides) under Pseudoglomeris beybienkoi. RNAcentral describes it as "tRNA-Arg". Lineage: Eukaryota; Metazoa; Arthropoda; Insecta; Blattodea; Blaberidae. The record is from RNAcentral.
AAAUAAGAAGCAAUACAGCAAUUAGUUUCGACCUAAUUCAUGGUAAUAAAACUACCCUUAUUUA